Molecule: non-coding RNA, 186 nt
Filed under: Gammaproteobacteria bacterium
Lineage: Bacteria; Pseudomonadati; Pseudomonadota; Gammaproteobacteria
Description: 6S RNA
Rfam family: 6S / SsrS RNA
About the family: E. coli 6S RNA was the first non coding RNA to be sequenced, but its function was unknown until recently. It consists of 184 nucleotides that fold into an extended hairpin structure with a large single-stranded internal bulge.
Source: RNAcentral
CGUCUCCUGCAGUGUUCGAUACUGGCCUGGAAACCUCCCGACCCUAAAUCUCCACCUCGGGGUCGUUGCCUGCCGUUCGCAUUUGCGCAAAACCAUUUCGAUGGUGAGCCUGUUGCGGCGGCGGUUGACCCCACUUUUAGCUCCGGUUCGAGAGCGAAGGUUCAUGACGGCACAGGUGGGAGGCGC